This 252-nucleotide unclassified non-coding RNA is filed under the name plant metagenome. Its description in RNAcentral is "partial contains small subunit ribosomal RNA, internal transcribed spacer 1, and 5.8S ribosomal RNA". The stretch from base 1 to 54 matches the Rfam family "Eukaryotic small subunit ribosomal RNA", at positions 1778 to 1831 of the family's 1831-position model. The record is from RNAcentral.
GGAGGUAAAGGUCGUAACAAGGUCUCCGUAGGUGAACCUGCGGAGGGAUCAUUACAGAGUUCUCGCCCUUACGGGUAGAUCUCCCAUCCACUGUUAUCGUUACUGUCGUUUCUUUGGCGGGCCGCCGGGUCCCCGGCCGCCGGCGCCUAGCUGCCGGCGCGCGCCCGCCAGAGGCCUUCAAACUCUGAAUGUUAGUGUCGUCUGAGUACUAUAUAAUAGUUAAAACUUUCAACAACGGAUCUCUUGGUUCUG